Passer domesticus (house sparrow) is the source of this 1699-nucleotide RNA transcript. It is a transcript of the gene named feather beta keratin-like, with no coding region annotated. The transcript has 3 exons. Lineage: Eukaryota; Metazoa; Chordata; Aves; Passeriformes; Passeridae. The record is from RefSeq and is a predicted model, not a curated record.
CCUUUGAAAUCUCAUUUUCUGAUGUCUCCGGAAUAUUCCGAUAAGCUCCAAAGCCCGGCGGGAUCUCUGGAGGUGCCUCAUAAAAUCAGAAUAAUUCCUGGGAUGCCACGAGCCCGGGGAUGGUUUUGCCUCGUCUCAAGAAUUGGAAAAAUAUUUAGGGCGAGUUCUCCAACUUAAAAGACACUGGAGCCUCCUGGAAGACAGCUGAGGGGAAACACAGGAGGCAAAUGAAUGCUCCGAGGUCACCCCGGGAGCAGCUGGAGGAACCCACAGUGAACCGGGUUGCCAUUUAUUUGAAUUCCAGAUUUGAAUUCCAGCGGCUCCUGCAGGCCUUGGCUGUGGCUCCACAGGAUCCGCGGGGGGAAGGAGAACCCCCAAAUCCCUAAAUCAGCAGGAUGGAGCUCGGAAUGAAGGACUGGGAGCUCCAAACCCUGGCAGGGAUUUAGGGGGGAGCUGGGAGUGCUUUUGGACGUGUCCUGAAAUGGCUUUUCCAGCUGGGGCCUGGAAAUCUGCGCCAGUGAACACACCCCUGGGUUUUAUUUUAAUAAAUUAUUCCCUUUUCAAAAUGCCCUACGUAGUCACGUUCUGUUGGUGUGCUGUUUUGUGGAGUUGUGGAAUAGUUUAAAGACGGAGCUUUAAAAAUUAUUUAAUUCCAAGCCCUCCUAGGAGCACAGGCCGCAUCCAGCCAGGACUCAGAUGCUUCCAGGGAUGAGGAAUCCACAAUUCCCUGCAAAACCUCCCCACCCUCCCACAGAACAUUUUUAUCCCUAAUUUCUCCCUCAGAAUGAGCAGCGAACUUUGAUUUCUUUCCAUUUUCCCCUCAAAAAAAGUGCUGAGUUUCCCAAAGCUGUGUAAGGCCUUCAAGGCCCAAUCCCUAAUUAAAGCCAAGGCCUUUGUUUAUGUCUUUCGAAACCUGAAGCUGCCACUUAAGAAAUCUGCAAUUAGUGGGGCCUCCAAAUUGCUCCCAUGGAUGGGGUAAUGAUCCCCAGGCAGAAAAUAAUUCCUUUUUAAUGAAAAUCCCGCCUCAAAAAUCACCCCUUAGGAAACGCUGCUGCUGCCAAGGAAUAAUCGUAUCAGUGUGGCUUUAUCUGCUUUUUAACAGUUAAAGAGGGGGGAAACCAAGCAAAUAAAUCAUAAUAAUAAUAGUAAACACAGGAGGGUGAAGCUAUGGGAUUUUUCUUCAAUUAAUUGAAAUAUUAUCAAAGCCUUUUUUGUGUGCAUGAAGUGCUAAUUAAUUCCAGGUUAAUUUUUCAGGACUGAGUUCUGCAUUCUCUCCUUGUGGGUCACACUGGCCCCAUUUGCAUUUCUGACCUUCCCACUCUGCUCCUGUUCCUUCCUCAGGGCUGUUUUCUAUCCCAGAAUUCCAGAAUAAUUGUCUUUUUUGGACUGUGAGACUCAAAAUUAAACUGAAAAAUCAAUUUUUUUCUCAAUUGCUUCCUCUGACAAGCCCCACAUUUUUACUAAAUCUUAAUCAAAGUUAUUUAUUUGUCACUCCUUUAUCAAUAUGAAAAAUUCAGCUCUGAGCCCUUUCCCCUAAAUCCAAAAUUAACAUUUUGAUUUAACAAUUAUUCCCUGCUUCUGUAAUUCCUGAGGAGUCAGUGUUGUCCAAUGUCCAGGUUUUCUCUGCAACAAAUUGCAACAUUUGCCUGUUCUGGGAAAUCUGGCAGAAGUAAAAAAGAAAGUUUUCAAAUAAAAAUCA